Molecule: non-coding RNA, 229 nt
Filed under: Fictibacillus phosphorivorans
Lineage: Bacteria; Bacillati; Bacillota; Bacilli; Caryophanales; Fictibacillaceae
Description: T-box sequence
Rfam family: T-box leader
About the family: Uncharged tRNA acts as the effector for transcription antitermination of genes in the T-box leader family. T-boxes are found upstream of many aminoacyl-tRNA synthetase genes and some amino acid biosynthetic genes usually in Gram-positive bacteria. The anticodon of a specific tRNA base pairs to a specifier sequence within the T-box motif, and the NCCA acceptor tail of the tRNA base pairs to a conserved bulge in the T-box antiterminator hairpin.
Source: RNAcentral
UGUAAAACGCAGAUGAGGAAAGUAGGCUAGCGCCUUUUCAUAGUAGAGAGAACCAUCACCGGCUGAAAGUGGUUCAUGAAAAUGCUUGCUGAAGUGCCCCUCGGAGUCCCUUGCCGAAAGUGUUAGUAGGUUUGGGCGGCAACUCCCCGUUAUGGAGCUCAAGGGAACAGGUGAGUUUUUAUAAACCUGUUAAACAGAGUGGAACCGCGUCUAUCCGUACGUCUCUGUG